UUUUUCAAUUCGCCCCCAAUUCCUGAUGACUAUGAUGAUAUUGAUGAAGAAGCAGCGGCAAAGCUUCAGAAUCUGAUGGAGCAAGAUUAUGAGAUUGGAUUGACCAUUCGAGACAAAAUUAUUCCUCAUGCUGUAUCAUGGUUUACUGGAGAGGCAGCUCAAGGGGAUGAAUUUGAUGAUAUAAAUGAUGAUGGG
This is a long non-coding RNA of Amaranthus tricolor (Joseph's coat), 195 nucleotides long. RefSeq lists it as uncharacterized. The record is from RefSeq and is a predicted model, not a curated record. NCBI's taxonomy places the organism in Eukaryota, Viridiplantae, Streptophyta, Magnoliopsida, Caryophyllales, Amaranthaceae. The transcript is spliced from 3 exons.